Molecule: long non-coding RNA, 692 nt
Filed under: Pan troglodytes (chimpanzee)
Lineage: Eukaryota; Metazoa; Chordata; Mammalia; Primates; Hominidae
Description: long non-coding RNA NONPTRT006727
Source: RNAcentral
GCUAGGGCCGGUGUGCCCCCAUUUCAUGGCAUUGGGGGACAACAGGAUUCUCUGUCUAGGUCCCACUGUACUCAAGUCCUUGGGAAGAUGCCCACCCUUGCUUGGGACUUGAGACUCCAGAGACUGGAGCAGCUGUGGGCCACUGGGUCUGGCCCCUUUUUCCCUGGGGGCGGCGGUGGAAUGGGGGUUACGCAGCCAGCCAGCAUCUGGGAGCCCGGCGAGAGCGGUUCAGGUGUUCUCCGAAGCCGCCGCGUACAGUGUAACCUUUAGACGAUUUUGUCACACAGGAUGGACGUGGUAGAGGUCGCGGGUAGUUGGUGGGCACAAGAGCGAGAGGACAUCAUUAUGAAAUACGAAAAGGUACAAGUCGGUGUGCUUCUUGGAGGGAGGCCUCUUCCAGUGUGCCCUGGUCAAAGGGUCCUGGGCUCCCUAGGAGCACAGGGCAGGGACGGCUGGCCAAUGCCCCCAGGCCCUUGCACCCUUUACCUUGGACCCCUCACCAAGGCUCCCUCUGGGCUACAGGACACCGAGCUGGGCUGCCAGAGGACAAGGGGCCUAAGCCUUUUGGAAGAUACAACAACAAUGUCGAUCAUUUGGGGAUUGUACGGUCACUCAGGGAUUCGACUCUGAGGUCAAUGAUGCACUUGGCACCAGAAAAUGAUGGGGUUGGCACAGACCUGCCAGCCUCAGCC